AUUCAUCAAUCUGAUUGCAGUAGACAAUAUAAGUGGGGAAAAUUUCAGGACAAGGAGGGAAUAAUUACCUCUGACCAGCAGAUGCCAAGCAAUCGGUAUUUUGAUUCACGCACUUGGUGCUUCGAUUGAGGGGAGGAGGGCUGAUAUUUACGAAGAUCAUUGACACUGAUGAAAAGGAGGGUAUUCCCCUGCAUUGUGUGCUUCUUUUACAAAUAAUGUUAACUGUUGUUGUUUUUUCAAUUAUGUUUUUAGCAAUUACAGUUAAAUAUUGUUUACCAUUUAUGAGAUGGUGGUGUUUGUUUCAAUUUAUAGCAUUUCUCUGUCAAUUGUUUGUUAUUUGGCUUGGAUUGCUCUUCAUUCUCAGUUUGGAGCUCGGAAAACUUGAGAAAUGAAAUCUAAAAGUUUAGUGGACCAUUUUUAAUUAUUUUUUACACUAAAUUAUAGCAUUGUUCUAAUAUUAGAUUUUUAUAAAGUAUGGAUUGCCAGAUUUAUCUAGAUAAUUUAUUUUUGUUUUCCUUUUCCAAGUUCCGAAUGAAGUCUAGGACUCUGUUACACAUUAUUUCUUUUUCAUGGGAACUGAAUGCAACAAAAUCUGAUAGAAAGAACAUGUUAUUUAUUAGAACCCAAUCAAUAGGCUAAGGGGUAUGUGAUGGUUUCCUUUUGCUUCAUUUACUAUGUAUGUACUUAGGUUGGACACUGGUAGUGAUUUUAGCCCCACUUCAUUCGUCAUCAACUUAUAAGAAAUACACUCUGAGCCUGUUUUGUCACAGAUUUGGUAAAUCAUAAAAGUUGUUUCAGUGAGAAUAACUUUUAACUGUUUUCUUUGGAGAACAAACAGUUUGACCCGUCAUCAUUAAGGCACCUAACUUUAUCUUCUUAUGCCAUUAGAUGAGUAAAUGUAUCGACAACUUUUGUCAGAACUCAAUCUUGCUCAAGUAAUAGUUUAAGUAUAUUUAUAUUUGUACGUGAGAAAUUGGGUUUCAUAUUGGUUUUGCUUGGGAUCUUUACCGAAUAUAUCAUUCAUUUCUUCUGUAUUUUUUUUUCUUUUUUUCUUUCUUGAGAAGGGGUGAACUUGUUCAGCGAUGAUGUUUUGUUGAUUACUCUGGAAUUUAAACAACCUAAUUGAUAAUAAGGUGGGUAAAAGAGACAAUUUGCAUCAGAUACCAAAUAGUUUGUUUUGUGGGUUGUGGGAGAAAGCAUUGGUCAAAGUUGAGAACAAAAAGGUCCAACUGAAAUUUUUGGAACUUUUUGUUUCUAACGGUUGAUCGACCAAAGGAAUAUUUAAAUUGUUGGUUAAUCUUAAACAUGUUGAGAAGUGUAGCAGGAAAGGCAGCAAGUGCUCUGUAGGCGCAGUCAAUUUUACUUUUGGAAUAGAUCAACUUGCAGUUCUGGUAGUUGUGUUUUUCUGUGUUGUCAUGCUAGUUAGUGCUCCAUCCACUCCAAAAUUAAAGAUAUAUUUCUAAAACGACAACUUUAAGAAUAAUUUUUUGUUCCCAAAUGUACCCAUAGUAUUGUCCAAGUAUUUAGUAGUGGUGGUGUGAUUCUAGAAUGAUAGUAACAUAGUAAUGGCAAAUUAGGGAUAUCAUGUAACUUUAUAGUCCUAAAAUAGAAAUUUAUCUCUUUUUUCGGAACGGUGUAAAAAGAAAAAUGUAUCUCUAAUUUUAGAACGGAGGGAGUACUAUUUUUUUUCAUGAACAUUGGUACUAUUAUCUGAUGCAGACUUGUGUAUACAGUUCUAGAAUCUAGAGAGUUUGGUGGUUGUUCAUUAUUUGUUCCUCCAUCUAUUAUUGGUCUUGAAACUUUCAAUGCUGUUUUCUGUAGAGAUUCUUUUAUCUGUGCUGUUUCUGUAGGAUUUUAAUCUUGUUUGCUGAAUUUAUUUGCACUUUUUGACUCAGAGUUCCGGAGAUCAUAUCCUUUGCUGGGAUAAAACAAUUAUUAAGCAUCUUUAUUAGUAUCACUUUGAAGUCAUUUGAUGUUGAAAAAUUGUUCUCCUCGAGUAUUUUUUUAUGAAUUCCUGUCAUUUUUUUAUUUCCUUUUUCCUUUUUCCAUUUUCUUAUUUUAAUACUGUUGUCAGUAUAACUGCAAUUACAUGCAUAAAUGAGGUUUCGAUACACCCUUUAAUAGCAUGGGUUCCAAUUUUCUGCUGUGAUACGGUUUUGAAGUCAUUGUUUACCUCAUUAAUACUGUGUCUUUAUAUGCAGUGCUGUGCUUUUUUGAGUUGUUCGCCUUCUGGUUUUCAUAUAUUCAAGCCUCUCAUUCAGUUUACACAAAUGGCCUCUCUAAAUUAGACUGGUGCAUAAUUGUUCUCAUCUCAAUUGAAAUGCGGCAUUUACUUCUCACUCAUAAACAUUUAUGGCAAUUUUUAAUUUGCAUACCAGCUUUUGAAUAUGUAUGUUUAAUUUAUUUUCGUUUUGUUUUAUUUUAUAUGCAGUGUCGAUUAUAGACAGGUUCUUAGCCUACUGGUGACCAGAUUUCAAAAAGCACCCUUACGCAGAGGCUUCUAAUUAAUGAACUAUUUUAAUUUUUUGAAGAAAGACAACACUAUUCUUUAUAUACCAAAUUAUCAGUCCAAGUCUUUUGUUCCAGAAGAGUAGGGGAAGGGGAGAUACUAAGCAAUCAAAAGGAUGGCUUAUCCUGUUGGCUGCAAGUUCUCAGAGUGAACGUGACAAUCUGAUGUUUCUUUCCAAGGUAUUAUUUUGAACAUCUACAUGGUUUUUGGGUUUACAUAGUGAGAUUUAUAUUUUGGCUGGUACUCUGUAAUUUCUUUAGAUAUGCUCUCAUACUUGACAUUGUUAGAUUUGCUUAGCUAUCAACAUCUAGGUCCUUCUUUCUGAAUUGCAAAGUUUGCUAUUACUUGUCAUCCUAAAAACAUUUAUAAAUUUUGUUUUUUGCAUCUUUUAAUGGAGUGGCAUUGUCAAGAAUAUCUGUUUCCAUGUAUGAUACAGCUCCUUCACAUUUGGAGGUUUCAUAUAACUUUUGGCAUUGAAUUAAUUCAAGACUGACAGAUUAAUUAAUUGGCGCAGCCUUUUGACAGUGAAAACCAUUUAAGCAAUGAUUUAUUAUUUAAUUACUGUUUUUCUUUAUUCACGUACUUUUCCUUUUCCGUUUCGCUGCCCCUUUUUGCUGUACGCGUGCUUUCAUAAAUAAGAUAAUCAUUAAUAUCCAUCACGGAUCCACCAUUGAGGUGCUUAGUAGAAGUAUUAAAUUGAACUAAGGGAUAUGCAAAACCUCUUAGUAUUCAAGCAUUUCAUUUUUUUGAUGCAACAAAUACAGCCAAUAUAACUAAUUGUUAUUUCUUCAUAUAAUAUAUACAUAAACUACUGAUGUAUACAGCCAAUAUAUAUAUCUUUAUUUCUUGGUACUUUUUUUUUUUGAUUAUUUGCUUGAUAUAACAUUAUUAUUUUGCUUAUCUGUUGCAUAGUUUACUGCCAUAGAUUUGUUUCGUUAUUAUAGGUCUCAUGUUAGUAAAAUUUUCAAUAGUACUUCUGCUUCAUUUAUCAAACUUAUGAUACAAGUCCUUUAACUCAAGUGCAAGAGGCCACGAAAGUAACCUAUGUUUAUAAACUACACCUAUAUGGUUAUUAAAGUCAAUUAUUGCUACUUUUUUAGGAAAGGGAAAUACAAGUAUACAAGGC
Molecule: long non-coding RNA, 3635 nt
Filed under: Panax ginseng (ginseng)
Lineage: Eukaryota; Viridiplantae; Streptophyta; Magnoliopsida; Apiales; Araliaceae
Description: long non-coding RNA (PGIN_LNC012454)
Source: RNAcentral